RNAcentral lists this unclassified non-coding RNA (674 nucleotides) under Hevea brasiliensis (rubber tree). Lineage: Eukaryota; Viridiplantae; Streptophyta; Magnoliopsida; Malpighiales; Euphorbiaceae. The record is from RNAcentral.
AGCUUGGAAUCUUACAAAUGAUAGGUACUUCCUGUAGUUCUGCCUGUCCUUUGUGUUUGGUUCAUCCAUUUAGCAUGAUAAUUUUUCUAUGCUCUCUUGUAUCAACGUUUAUCAAUUCAUGAGUUGAGAAUUAUAUUAUUUAGAUAAGGAUUGUCUAAAUAAAAUUAGAAGCAAUAAAAUGGAUUUAGCAUCAUUUUUGUUAUUCUUCAAAGCCAAGUUGAAAAGUAUGGGUUGAAUCUUACAAAUGACUGCAUUAUUACUUCUUAAAUGGAAGUAUAAUUUUUUCCCCUCUUCCCCUUAUAACCCCCAGGGUCACCCCUCGACCAAAAACCUCUUUUAGUUGUGUUGCAAAGAAUUUAUAAAUUUCUCUAGUGCUCUUAAUGAUUAACUUAACUGAAAUAAUGCUUUCUAAUGCUAUUGAUGUAGAACCAGGAAGAAUAAGUGACCAAGAGAAACAUUUCUCAAGAAUCAAAGAGAAACUAAUUCUCCAAAGGCAGAGUAACAAAUUCUUGAUUUUUAUUGCUCAAAUUAAUAAUCAAAGUCAUAAUAAGUCUGUAAAUAAAAUAGAGAUACUAAGCCUGAGUUUGAAAUCCCAAUUGCAUUAGGAUUUUAGAAAGAUUAGCACUACCUUGUAGAAAAUUUUCUUACUUUUCAGAAAUAUUUUGAAGAAAAUA